This 580-nucleotide ribosomal RNA is filed under the name uncultured bacterium. RNAcentral describes it as "bacterial SSU rRNA". It matches the Rfam family "Bacterial small subunit ribosomal RNA", at positions 338 to 916 of the family's 1533-position model. The record is from RNAcentral.
CCUACGGGAGGCAGCAGUGGGGAAUCUUGCGCAAUGGCCUAACGGCUGACGCAGCGACGCCGCGUGAGGGAUGACGCUCUUCGGAGUGUAAACCUCUUUUGCCUGAGACGAAUUGUCAGCUUUAGCUGAUUUGACUGUAUCGGGUGAAUAAGCACCGGCUAACUCCGUGCCAGCAGCCGCGGUAAUACGGGGGGUGCGAGCGUUGUCCGGAAUUAUUGGGCGUAAAGAGCUUGUAGGCGGUUUGUCGCGUCUGCUGUGAAAUUUCGGGGCUCAACCCCGAACUUGCAGUGGGUACGGGCAGGCUAGAGUGUGGUAGGGGAGACUGGAAUUCCUGGUGUAGCGGUGAAAUGCGCAGAUAUCAGGAGGAACACCGAUGGCGAAGGCAGGUCUCUGGGCCACUACUGACGCUGAGAAGCGAAAGCAUGGGGAGCGAACAGGAUUAGAUACCCUGGUAGUCCAUGCCGUAAACGUUGGGAACUAGGUGUGGGCCUCAUUCCACGAGGUCCGUGCCGCAGCUAACGCAUUAAGUUCCCCGCCUGGGGAGUACGGCCGCAAGGCUAAAACUCAAAGGAAUUGACGG